Molecule: ribosomal RNA, 233 nt
Filed under: uncultured Candidatus Saccharibacteria bacterium
Lineage: Bacteria; Candidatus Saccharimonadota
Description: partial 16S ribosomal RNA
Rfam family: Bacterial small subunit ribosomal RNA
Source: RNAcentral
UAAGUUGGUAGUGAAAUAUUGCGGCUCAACCGCAAACCAUUACCAAACUGCUAAGCUAGAGAAUGAGAGAGGUCGCUGGAAUUUCUAGUGUAGGAGUGAAAUCCGUAGAUAUUAGAAGGAACACCGAUGGCGUAGGCAGGCGACUGGCUCAUUUCUGACACUAAGGCACGAAAGCGUGGGGAGCAAACCGGAUUAGAUACCCGGGUAGUCCACGCUGUAAACGAUGGAUGCUA